AUGGUGAUGCUUCAGCUUUCCGCCGUAGUCCUCCUCGCGCUCGUUGCCCCCUCCCUGGCCGGGGACGCCGACAUGCUUCAGGACGUCUGCGUCGCCGACUUGGCAUCCCCGAUCAAGCUGAACGGGUUCCCGUGCAAGACGCACAUCACUGCGGACGACUUCUUCUUCGCCGGUCUCAAGAGGUCUGGCAACACCAACAAUGCGGCAGGGUCCAACGUCACGGCGGCAAAUGUACAGUCAUUCCCUGGGGUGAACACGCUUGGCGUGUCCAUGGCACGCAUCGACUACGCGCCCGGAGGCCAGAACCCGCCGCACACCCACCCACGCGCCACGGAGAUCAUCUUCGUCCUUGAAGGAGUCCUGGAGGUGGGCUUCAUCACCACCGCCAACAAGCUCUUCACUAAGACUGACACCGUGGGAGACGUGUUCGUUUUCCCGCGUGGGCUCGUGCACUUCCAGCAGAACAGGGGACGUGGCCCGGCCUCCUUCAUUGCCGGCUUCAACAGCCAGCUCCAGGGUACACAAGUCAUCGCCAACACACUGUUCGCUGCCGCGCCGCCAGUACCGAGCGAUGUGCUGGCCAAGGCCUUCCGGAUCGACAACAGCCAAGUGGACGCUAUCAAGGCCAAGUUCAUGUAG
This 639-nucleotide ribosomal RNA is filed under the name Triticum aestivum (bread wheat). Its description in RNAcentral is "partial small subunit ribosomal RNA". The record is from RNAcentral. Lineage: Eukaryota; Viridiplantae; Streptophyta; Magnoliopsida; Poales; Poaceae.